This 323-nucleotide unclassified non-coding RNA is filed under the name soil metagenome. RNAcentral's name for it is "partial contains 5.8S ribosomal RNA, internal transcribed spacer 2, and large subunit ribosomal RNA". The stretch from base 1 to 120 matches the Rfam family "5.8S ribosomal RNA", at positions 35 to 154 of the family's 154-position model. The record is from RNAcentral.
GAUGAAGAACGCAGCGAAAUGCGAUAAGUAAUGCGAAUUGCAGAAUUCAGUGAGUCAUCGAAUCUUUGAACGCACAUUGCGCCCUGUGGUAUUCCGCAGGGCAUGCCUGUUCGAGCGUCAUUACAACCCUCAAGCUCUGCUUGGUGUUGGGCCCUGCCCGCUGCGGCCGGCCCUAAAGACAGUGGCGGUGCCGCCUGGCCCUGAGCGUAGUACAUCUCUCGCUCCAGUGCCCGGUGGUAGCCUGCCAGAACCCCAACUCUCGUGGUUGACCUCGGAUCAGGUAGGGAUACCCGCUGAACUUAAGCAUAUCAAUAAGCGGAGGA